GGUGCUCUAGUAUAGUUAGAGCGUCCACCUCGGAUGCGGGAGGUCGCGGGUUCGAACCCCGGCUGAGUCA
Non-coding RNA from Potamilus streckersoni, 70 nucleotides. The record is from the annotation of a GenBank genome assembly. NCBI's taxonomy places the organism in Eukaryota, Metazoa, Mollusca, Bivalvia, Unionida, Unionidae.